This 492-nucleotide ribosomal RNA is filed under the name uncultured bacterium. RNAcentral describes it as "partial 16S ribosomal RNA". It matches the Rfam family "Bacterial small subunit ribosomal RNA", at positions 29 to 507 of the family's 1533-position model. The record is from RNAcentral.
AGUGAACGCUGGCGGUAGGCCUAACACAUGCAAGUCGAACGGCAGCACAGUAAGAGCUCGCCCUCACGGGUGGCGCGUGGCGGAUGGGCGAGGAAGCCAUCGGAAACUACUUUUCCGUGGGGGCUAACGUAGGGAAACUUACGCUAUUACGGCACACGACCUACGGGUGAAAGCAGGGGAUCUUCGGACUUUGCGCGUUUGAAUGAGCCGCUGUCGGAUUAGCUAGUUGGCGGGGUAAGGGCCCACCAAGCGGACGAUCCGUAGCUGGCCUGAGAGGGUGAACAGCCACACCGGAACUGAGACACGGUCCAGAGUCGUGCGUGAGGCAGCGGUGGGGACUAUUAGUCAAUAGGCGCAUGCAUGAUCCACCCAUACCGCGUGGGUGAAGGAAGCCUUCGAGUUGUAAAGCCCUUUUUUGGUGAUAGAAAUGCACCAGGUUACUUUCGCGCUCUUCUGACUAUACGCAAUGAAUAAGCACCGGCUAGCUUCGUG